This 797-nucleotide ribosomal RNA is filed under the name Achromobacter xylosoxidans. Its description in RNAcentral is "bacterial SSU rRNA". It matches the Rfam family "Bacterial small subunit ribosomal RNA", at positions 694 to 1497 of the family's 1533-position model. Lineage: Bacteria; Pseudomonadati; Pseudomonadota; Betaproteobacteria; Burkholderiales; Alcaligenaceae. The record is from RNAcentral.
AUAUGAGAAGAACACGCGAAUAGGAAAGGCCACCUCCUGGGAUAACCCUUGAGGUCCUGCAAGAAUGGGAGGGAAACCAAAUCUGAUUACAUUGCCUUGUAUUUCACGACCUAAAUGGAGUCAACCUUUGAUGGGGCCUUUUGUACUUGGGAAGGUAACGAAUAGAUAAAUUGACCGCCUGGGGAGGCCGGAAGCCUGAAUAUAAAUUAAAUGAAUUGGGGGGGGCCCCAACCAGCGGUCGAUGAUGUUGAUUUAUAGGAUGCCGAGGGAAAAACCCUGCCCUUCCCUGGCAUAGUAGGAAUCCCGAAGGGAUUUGGCCGUUCUGGCAAGAGAACCCGAACCCCGGAUGGGCAUGGGCGUCUUCAGUUCUGAGAGGGAGAAGUAAGGUUAAGUACCGCAACGAGCCCAACCCUUGUCCUUAGUUGCUUCGAAAGGGCACUUUAAUGAGACUGCCGGUGACAAACCGGAGGAAGGUGGGGAUGACGUCAAGUCCUCAUGGCCCUUAUGGGUAGGGCUUCACACGUCAUACAAUGGUCGGGACAAAGGGUUGCCAAGCCGCGAGGGGGAGCCAAUCCCAGAAAACCGAUCGUAGUCCGGAUCGCAGUUUGCAAAUCGACUGCGUGAAGUCGGAAUCGCUAGUAAUCGCGAAUCAGCAUGUCGCGGUGAAUACGUUCCCGGGUCUUGUACACACCGCCCGUCACACCAUGGGAGUGGGUUUUUCCAGAAGUAGUUAGCCUAACCGCAAGGGGGGCGAUUACCACGGUAGGAUUCAUGACUGGGGGAAGUUGAUACAAGGU